UGCGUAGGCGGUCGGGUAAGUCUGAUGUGAAAUCUCAGAGCUCAACUCUGAAACUGCAUUGGAUACUAUUCGGCUUGAGGUCUGGGAGGGGGGGCUGGAAUUCUCGGUGUAGCAGUGAAAUGCGUAGAUAUCGAGAGGAACACCAGUGGCGAAGGCGAGUCCCUGGACAGGUCCUGACGCUGAGGACACAAAGGCUAGGGGAGCAAACA
RNAcentral lists this ribosomal RNA (209 nucleotides) under uncultured bacterium. RNAcentral describes it as "partial 16S ribosomal RNA". It matches the Rfam family "Bacterial small subunit ribosomal RNA", at positions 568 to 774 of the family's 1533-position model. The record is from RNAcentral.